CUACAAUGAUGGUAAUAUUUUUCG
RNAcentral lists this non-coding RNA (24 nucleotides) under Cricetulus griseus (Chinese hamster). Lineage: Eukaryota; Metazoa; Chordata; Mammalia; Rodentia; Cricetidae. The record is from RNAcentral. RNAcentral also lists the same sequence under 1 other name.